UCGGAGGACCGGUCUGGUACC
RNAcentral lists this microRNA (21 nucleotides) under Picea abies (Norway spruce). RNAcentral's name for it is "pab-miR11420c". Lineage: Eukaryota; Viridiplantae; Streptophyta; Pinopsida; Pinales; Pinaceae. The record is from miRBase by way of RNAcentral.